UCAUCUGUUUCCGCCCUUUGAUGUUCAUCCCGGAAGAAUCGAUUUGAUCUUGAUUCAUCUCAGAUUCAAACUCCGCGUCAAGUCCUCGCGGUGAAAGCGCGCGAGGGCGGGGGGGCAAUAAAUUAUGUUAAUGAGUGAGGACAGAUUGGACAGAGGGGGGCGUGUUCCUGGGGGGGGGGGGUGCCCGCGCCUCCAGCCAUCGUGCCCCUCAGCUGUGUACAUGCGCGCUGCCUCCUCGCGCAGAAUCACUCCGCAGAAUCUCACCCGCAACAAGUUUCCGCCGCGCGGCUCCGUCCGUCAACUCGCUCCGCUGUCCCGGUCACCGCCGAGGGCCGUGAACGCACCGCCGCACACACGCGCCGAGCCGCGCGCCACAGACUCGUGACUCCGCAGCGGCCGCAGCUCGCUCCGAAGCGGCGCGUGCAGCCUGUAGCGUGUCUCGUGAAGUGAACCUGAGCUCGCGGAGGAGCAGCACCUGAACAUGGAGAAAGACGCGGCGCGUCAGGAGCGGCGCCGCCGCCGCGCCGCGGCGCUCAGCGUCGCCGCGUGCGCGCUGUCGGUGGCGUCCGUCGCCUUCUGCGUCCUGCUCAGCAUCAACGCGGCGGAGCUCCGGAACCGGGUCCUGGACCUGGAGAAGCCGCAGUCGGCCCGCGAGGACGUGGAUUCUCUGGUGGAGCAGAAAGUGGAGGAGCUGCUGACACAGCGCGCGUUCGAGAAUUACGUCAAGAUCCGGACCGCGAGACAAACGUCACCUGAAUGCAACUGCCCCCCAGGACCUCCUCCGGGAAAGCGAGGAAAGACGAGGCCGCAACGGAGAGCCCGGUACCUCCUAGGGCCCCCCAGGUCCAAAAGGUGAAAAGGUGGGUGGAUCCAGCACCUCUUCCCGGGUCAAAGCGUCCUCCAAAGCCCGUUUAGCCUGUUAGCUUAGCUCAGAUUAGUUCCCCUGAUGAUCAGAAGUGUAAAACCAGUUCUGGACUGGAGGCCCGGUGCUGGUCCGGCCCGAGGUCGUGGGACCGUUGGGCAGAUUUGGGAAUUCUGGAGCAUCUGCUGCAGUCUCGCUCACAUGAGGCCGACUGGUGUCUUUAAUGGGAACCAUUUUGACCCCCCAUUACCCAUCUUCCUCCCCCCACCCACCCGUUACCCCCCCCCAUAACCCCCCCCUCAUAAACCCCCCCCCCCCCCCCCCCCCCCCCCCCAGCAGCCGCUCCGGUUUCCUGUUCAAACCGGUUUUUGGAACGGCAGCGUGGAGAAAAGUUACAAAA
RNAcentral lists this long non-coding RNA (1262 nucleotides) under Takifugu rubripes (torafugu). Its description in RNAcentral is "lncRNA (ENSTRUG00000026601.1)". The record is from RNAcentral. Lineage: Eukaryota; Metazoa; Chordata; Actinopteri; Tetraodontiformes; Tetraodontidae.